GACGAACGCUGGCGGCGUGCUUAACACAUGCAAGUCGAACGAAGUGGCGAACGGGUGAGUAACGCGUAAUCACCCUGCCCUUCAGAGGGGGACAACAGUUGGAAACGACUGCUAAUACCGCAUACUGAAGGAGGGUGUUGCGUUUGAUUAGCUAGUUGGAGGGGUAACGGCCCACCAAGGCGAUGAUCAGUAGCCGGUCUGGGAGGAUGAACAGCCACAUUGGUACUGAGGCACGGCCCAGACUCCUACGGGAGGCAGCAGUGGGGAAUCUUCCGAAAGUGACGGAAGUCUGACGGAGCAACGCCGCGUGAGGGAUGACGGCCUUCGGGUGGUAAAGCUCUGUGAAUCGGGACGCGGUACCGGAAUAGAAAGCCACGGCUAACUACGUGCCAGCAGCCGCGGUAAUAC
RNAcentral lists this ribosomal RNA (408 nucleotides) under uncultured bacterium. RNAcentral's name for it is "partial 16S ribosomal RNA". It matches the Rfam family "Bacterial small subunit ribosomal RNA", at positions 28 to 526 of the family's 1533-position model. The record is from RNAcentral.